GACGAACGCUGGCGGCGUGCUUAACACAUGCAAGUCGAACGGAAAGGCCCUUCGGGGUACUCGAGUGGCGAACGGGUGAGUAACACGUGGGUGAUCUGCCCUGCACUUUGGGAUAAGCCUGGGAAACUGGGUCUAAUACCGAAUAGGACCACGCGCUUCAUGGUGUGUGGUGGCAAGCUUUUGCGGUGUGGGAUGGGCCCGCGGCCUAUCAGCUUGUUGGUGGGGUAAUGGCCUACCAAGGCGACGACGGGUAGCCGGCCUGAGAGGGUGACCGGCCACACUGGGACUGAGAUACGGCCCAGACUCCUACGGGAGGCAGCAGUGGGGAAUAUUGCACAAUGGGCGCAAGCCUGAUGCAGCGACGCCGCGUGAGGGAUGACGGCCUUCGGGUUGUAAACCUCUUUCAAUAGGGACGAAGCGCAAGUGACGGUACCUAGAGAAGAAGCACCGGCCAACUACGUG
Molecule: ribosomal RNA, 462 nt
Filed under: uncultured bacterium
Lineage: Bacteria
Description: partial 16S ribosomal RNA
Rfam family: Bacterial small subunit ribosomal RNA
Source: RNAcentral